AACGAACGCUGGCGGCAUGCCUAACACAUGCAAGUCGAACGAGACCUUCGGGUCUAGUGGCUCACGGGUUCGUAACGCGUGGGAACCUGCCCUUAGGUUCGGAAUAACUCCCCGAAAGGGGUGCUAAUACCGGAUAAUGUCUUCGGACCAAAGAUUUAUCGCCUUUGGAUGGGCCCGCGUUGGAUUAGCUUGUUGGUAGGGUAAAAGCCUACCACGGCGACGAUCCAUAGCUGGUCUGAGAGGAUGAUCAGCCACACUGGGACUGGGACACGGCCCAGACUCGUACGAGAGGCGGCGGUGGGGAAUAUAGGACAAUGGGCGAAAGGCUGAUACAGCAAUGCCGCGUGAGUGAUGAAGGCGUUAGGGUUGUAAAGCGCUUUUAACCGAGAUGAUAAUGACAGUACCGGGAGAAUAAGCUCCGGCUAACUACGUG
RNAcentral lists this ribosomal RNA (433 nucleotides) under uncultured bacterium. RNAcentral's name for it is "partial 16S ribosomal RNA". It matches the Rfam family "Bacterial small subunit ribosomal RNA", at positions 29 to 507 of the family's 1533-position model. The record is from RNAcentral.